Molecule: ribosomal RNA, 605 nt
Filed under: uncultured freshwater bacterium
Lineage: Bacteria
Description: bacterial SSU rRNA
Rfam family: Bacterial small subunit ribosomal RNA
Source: RNAcentral
AGAGUUUGAUCCUGGCUCAGAUUGAACGCUGGCGGCAUGCCUUACACAUGCAAGUCGAACGGCAGCACGGGUGCUUGCACCUGGUGGCGAGUGGCGAACGGGUGAGUAAUAUAUCGGAACGUACCUUAUCGUGGGGGAUAACGCAGCGAAAGCUGCGCUAAUACCGCAUACGCCCUGAGGGGGAAAGCGGGGGACCGUAAGGCCUCGCGCGAUUAGAGCGGCCGAUAUCUGAUUAGCUUGUUGGUGGGGUAAAAGCCCACCAAGGCGACGAUCAGUAGCUGGUCUGAGAGGACGAUCAGCCACACUGGGACUGAGACACGGCCCAGACUCCUACGGGAGGCAGCAGUGGGGAAUUUUGGACAAUGGGGGCAACCCUGAUCCAGCAAUGCCGCGUGAGUGAAGAAGGCCUUCGGGUUGUAAAGCUCUUUUGUCAGGGAAGAAACAGCAGCUCUAACACAGUCUGCGAAUGACGGUACCUGAAGAAUAAGCACCGGCUAACUACGUGCCAGCAGCCGCGGUACUACGUAGGGUGCAAGCGUUAAUCGGAAUUACUGGGCGUAAAGCGUGCGCAGGCGGUUAUACAAGACAGGCGUGAAAUCCCCGGG